Molecule: non-coding RNA, 18156 nt
Organism: Podarcis lilfordi (Lilford's wall lizard)
Lineage: Eukaryota; Metazoa; Chordata; Lepidosauria; Squamata; Lacertidae
Source: the annotation of a GenBank genome assembly
UGACAGCGACGCACACACCACUGGAUCAUUAAGCACAAACCAGGCACAACAGUGCCAUAUCACCCCCAGUUCAUUAGCUCAGUGGUGGCUGAGUCAGACUGAGGGACACAUUCCCAUCUGGGCAACCUUCUGGAGGCCACCUGGCAACGGUGGAUGGGCCUGGACACACACACAUGCCUGUUUCUAUCUAUCCAGCCCACCAAGAGGCAUUCUCAGAGUUCAAGGAUACAUCCUGGCGAAGCAGAAGCGCUCAAGGUGGGUAUGAAGUUGAGCUGGGCUGGGGUGUGGACUGGGGACAAUCCCAAGGGCAAGAUCCAGAGGCUUGGAGGGACACAUCCAGUCUCUGAUGCAGUGGUGUAGCGUGGGUUUCCAGCACCCAGGGCAAAGCUAGUAUCCUCAGCACUGCCCGCCAAUAGGCUGGAACGAAGCAGCAAUAGCUCAGUGAACUACACAAGUGGCAGCAGUGGCACCCCAUGAGCAUUGUGCAUGGCGGAGAGUGGGAUGGUGGAUUGAUCAGGAGUGGGUAUCUUUCUAAAGCCCAUGUAGAGGGUGCCCUCGCAACCAACCAUUGCCCAAAUCAACUCCUUAGUCUGCCCAUGUGAACGUUGGAAGAUUUUCUAUGUGAUGGGGAAGGCGCACUAUUUUUUUAAUUUAUUAUUACUACUUUCUUCUUCUUUUCUUUUGAAUUUUUGAACCCCUAAGAAUUUCGAGCCUGGGACACCCGCCCCUGUGAUCCUGCCCAUGUUACGCCACUGCCCUGGCGCCUGAGGUCUCCCAUGCCUGCAAUGAUCCUGGUGGCAAAACCACCCAGUAUGCCCAGAAUUAGGGCCCCCUGCAGCUGAGGUUUUAAUAUACAUUGUUAGCACAGAAGAUACUUUUGAAACAUGGCUACAAACAAUGAAUUGCCACAGUUGAAUUCUAGUAUUUUAGUUUGUUGCACUGUUUCCACCCUUCAUGUCUCCCAUUCCCCAGUUAAAGUCAGUGGAGGCACUCUCAAUCCAGCGCCUGUGAAAGCCUUCAUUGAUGCCCCUGAACAGAGGCACCGGAUUUCAUGUUUUUAAAAUAAAGAGUAAGUCUCUAGCCCUUCUAGAAAACAAAUUAUGAAGCACAGUGUGAAGAUACCCUUCUAAAUAAUUUCUGUCACAUGAGCAAGCCUGGCUGCGCCCGCCUAUCUGUGGUUUUAGCCAAUGAGUGAAGUUAGAACUUUGAUUGAUAAGUGAGUUGUUUGGACACCAGGCAAUAGGAAUCCCUGCGGUCCUAGCAGGGCCAAAUUCAUGAUGUAGUGAUUACACCAGGACCCAUGCCAAACUCUGAGCUUUCAUUUCAAAAAAGGAAAUCUCUAGGUUCCAAAAGGUUCCCAAACUUAUUUGGCCUACUGCCUCCUUUUCAGGAAAAAAAUAUCCAGUGCUCCCCUAGAAAUCUAUCUUCUUUAAGCCGGCCGGCUCAGUCCGAUCCACCCCACGGGUAGUGCCAGUGCUGCUGCCUGCCUGCCACUGGCCAGACAGGCAGGCUAGUUGCAAUCCACUUCCCAGGCCUGGUUGAAGCUGAAAAGGGUUCACACCAAGCCUGGGGAAAGUCCUCACCUACAGCAUGACCGCUGGAUCCCGGGGAGGCGUUGUCUCCAUCCUGCAACUGCUCCCGGCCUGGCAGUAAGGGUCAUUACACAACAGAUGAAACAUGUACGGAUGGUGUUUUUUUAAAAAAAAUCUUUUCUUCUCUUUCUUUAUGCUUCCGCUGCCCCCUUAUUUUUAUUCAAUGCUCCCUAAUUCUACCCAAGACUACUACCACCACCCUGGAUUAUUUCAGCCAGCCCCACCACCCCCUACCCCCCACGGCAGUAUAACCCAGUUUGGGAAACACUGCUCUACAUCUUCUAGAAAGAUUGCAUAACAUGCAGGCAAUUUUUUAAGCCAGGGUUCGCCAACCCGAAGCAAGCAAAGGGCAUAGCUGUCAACUUUCAGAUUUGAAAAUAAGGGAUCAGCAGCCUCACCUGUCCCGGGGACAGUCUACGGGAUAGCUAACAAUCCAGGAUAGCAGCGGGAAGCAGCGGGAAACAGCGCUGGAAUAAGGGAAUUUCCCGCAAAAAAAAAGGGAAGGUUGGCUGCUAUGGCAGAGGGAUGGGUAUAAUGUGGGGUUUUUUGGUGCUGCAGCCCAGAGCAAUUGUUGGUGGAGAAGAAGAAGAAGAGUUUGGAUUUGAUAUCCCGCCUUUCACUCCCUUUAAGGAGUCUCAACGCGGCUCACAUUCUCCUUUCCCUUCCUCCCCCACAACAAACACUCUGUGAGGUGAGUGGGGCUGAGAGACUUCACAGAAGUGUGACUGGCCCAAGGUCACCCAGCAGCUGCAUGUGGAGGAGCGGAGACGCGAACCCGGUUCCCCAGAUUACGAGACUACCGCUCUUAACCACUACACCACACUGGCUCUCUAGGUGGAAGGGCUCACCCACUUGCAACUCCAUUUAGCUAUGAUGUUAAUUCCUCUGCUCCUUUCUGGAGGGAAGGAUUUGCCUGGGUGGCUGGCAUGGGACAAAGAUGGCGAGGAGAGGAGAGGAGAGGAGAGGAGAGGAGAGGAGAGGAGAGGAGAGGAGAGGAGAGUUGCCCCACAUUUUGGUUUUUGGAGGAUAUUGGUGGGAUGGGAAGUGCCAACGCCAUUCCACCUUCUGUGCCUUGGCUGCCCAUAGAGGGGCUUUUUAAAAACAGGAGGAAGCAAAGAAGUGCUGUGCCCAUUUGAGAACUCCACUCUCGCUGGCCAAAUGGAAGUGGUGAGCAAGGCACUGAGCCUAUAGCUGUCCACAUCCUGCAAGUUUAAAGCUGCAAAUCAUGUGCCCUUUGAAAGAUGAGGUUGGAUCUGCUGGGAGUGCGGCUGUUGCAACUUGGUAUAGCUUGUGAACUUGGCGAGCCCCCGCCUCUGGGAUCGAAAAUGGGAUGGAAGCCGCUGGCACCCUUGAAGAUGAUGAAGUAUCUCGAAUAGCCUCGUUUGCUUGUCUGAGAGCACCUUUUAUUCUUCCGUGUGUCACUUGUGAAUGUUGUUGUGGCAAUACAGAAAAGUGGAAGAGAGUCAUUUUUAAAUCGAAAAGCACAUUCUAGUCAACAUAGUUUUUUUCAAUCAAUUAUAUAUAUACAGAGAGAAAGCAUGGAGUCAUUCUGGAGUGUUAGAGGCCAUCUACAGCACAGAGUGUUUUUCUAUGUAUGCUGUUUAUCUAUUUUGGAUUUUUCAUUGUUUGAUUAGCUCAUUCCUUUGACAGUGUAAACUGCCCUUGGGAUAUUUUGGAGGGCAAUAGUUAAAUGCCUAAAAUAAAAUCAAUAAAGUAUUUCUAAAAUAAAUUAACAGGUUCCAAAGAUAUAUAUGCUACUAAUGAUGUGCUUCAGCACUCACCAGGGAUACGCAAACAUGUUGGCUUCAGUGUCUUAUUUUUCUAGUCCUAAAUUCACUUCUCCACAUUUCCGCAUCAAUUUGUGGAUUUUGUUUUGAGAGUCCUCAUGAAAAUUCAUCAGUACACAGUGUGAAUUUCUGCUGAUACGCACAUUUUUGUAUGCAGUUUUGCCUAAUAUAAACUUUUUGCAAAGCAAUUUCCCCACAUGCAUUAUAAUACGAUCCUGAUACAGUGCUGCCACUAGAAGGUUAUCUCUUCCAAACAGCCAGCUUCUGCUGGGUCAGGAAAUGUACCCUGUCAAGUCAGCCAUUAACUGCUACUCCAUCUUCUUCCAGAGUUUGCCUUGAAUCUGGGGCUCCUUCUAAAAUCUCCCCUUCAGUUCCUUCCUGAGCCCAGAAGUUGCUGCUCUGGGUCCUUCUAGUUUCCUGCCAUCUUGCUUUGCACAAAUUAAUUUUCCCAUGCUGCCACUGGGUAGGCCUCCCAUCCAGGGUAGAUUCCUUCUCACCAAGUGGGUUCCUACUGGAGAACAGCAACACCAUGUACCAUGAACUCAGCCCAGAGUAGACCCGGCAUAACAUGAUUACAAGAGCUAGCAUUUGCCUCCAGGAUGAAGGCCCAGACUAUGUGUGACACAAUCUGAUAUCACAUGCUGCCAAGACCUCCAGUAGGACUGGGAGCACAGUGUACAAUAUGGUAGAGUUAACUCUUUCCUUUGGCACUGAAGAGUCCGUGAAAAAUGAACCCUCGCUCUUAUCUAGGGAUGUAAGUAGACAGCAAUUUCCACUCCAAGCCGUGUAAUCAGCGCUGUUUCCAUUCUGAUGCAGUUCCGUUUCCACCAAACACCACCUUUUAUGUCUUGCUGUCUACUGUAGCAGCAUUCUUUGGUCAUUUCUGCCAUAUUUCUGUUGUGUUUCUUGGCACUGAUGCAGCUCAACGAUGCAGAAAUCAGGACUGGACUCCCCACCCAUCAGCUGAUCCCACAUAGUGGGUUGCAUGUGAAUGCAAUGUAAAGGAAACGUCAAAACUAUUCUAAAAACAAUGUUAUUAAAGACAUAGUUUGUGAGAGUUCAUUUUUAAAAAAACUCAACCUUGUGAUUUUCAUUUCUAAUAAGAAUGCACACUGCAGCAAUUUCUACUUCCAUGUCCAUUAAGAGCUGAGUUUUCCAGCAACCUUGGUCCAAACAUACUGUAGUAUGCUACCCCAAUCUGCAGGUGGUUCAAGUUUCCUGGGGUUCCAGGCACGAACACAGGGUUUGUGUUUCCUUUCAGGAAUGAGGCACAGCAGAGACUGUGGUGUCUUUAUGACACAUGAUUUCUUUACACCUAUAUACAACCUGAAGCCACAGUGGUGGGGUUCACAUCAACCCCCAAAGGGGUAUGUCCCUUAAUGGCUCAUCACCCAGGCUAUCACCUCACCAGGAGGCUAGCCUGGCUAUUCCAAGAAUUAGAUUCCCCGAUUAAAUUCUAACACUCACUGGAUCCAGGGAUUAAAGGUGUCUGGUACCCAGGUUAACACCCCAAACUCAUAACAGUACUAUUGGCUGUGGGAAGAUUCCAUUCAUGGCCACUGGAGCUUCCCUCUUGGGGCAGAGCAAAGUGCCUCGGGUACUUAAUUUGUUCCGGAGGUCCAUUCUUAACCUGAAACUGUUCUUAACCUAAAGCACCACUUUAGCUAAUGGGGCCUCCUGCUGCCGCUGCGCGAUUUCUGUUCUCAUCCUGAAGCAAAGUUCUUAACCUGAGGUACUAUUUCUGGGUUAGCGGAGUCUGUAACCUGAAGCGUCUGUAACCUGAAGCGUCUGUAACUCGAGGUACCACUGUAUGUGACUUUCGUCAGGUCUGCGGCAUAGCUAGAAAGGGCUGACCCUCCCUGUAGUCCUUAUUGUCCCCUGCCCCCAGCAGAUGCCAGUGUUUAGGGGUUUUGUGUGUUUUUUAAAAAAAACAACUAUAUGAAAUGUCAAAUAAUACAUUUAAUGUCAUAUAUAAUUUAACCCUGAUUUUAGCAGGUAAAGGAAGACAAGGCUAGAUCUUACCCAAUGGCCUUUCACAACCUAGAGGCGAGCUCAGGGCAAACUAAUAGCCUGGCACUGACUUAAGUGCAUAAGGUCAUGCUUGUUUAUCAUAGAGAGGCAACCUCCAUCUACAAGCUCCUUCUCAGAUUACUUUUUUAUUUACAUGGGAAGGAAGACCCAUGCUGGAGAAGGCAGGAAGAUCGCGCCUGCUGUAACUCGAGAAUUUGGAUAAGAUUCUCAACAAGAACAGGGUGAGCUAAUGAAGAUGCCUGUGUGGUAGUUCUGAGGAAGGAAAAACAGGCAUAUUGAAUCACAAUCUGCUUCCUGGAAAACACCCUCAUCUGGAUAGGUCUUAGGGUGGCGGUUGUCAAAACUGUGCUCUUAUGAACCCUGAGACUUCUCAGAAGCUUAUCAGGCAUUCCACAAUAAGUAGUUCAGUAAUAAGAGACAAAUUUCCCUGCCCUUAUAGAUCUUCCGAUGCAGUUGUUGAAUUUCCACCUUCAUCUUCAUGGAGAAAAGGCAGUAUAUAAAUAAAUAUAAAUUAAAUAUACAAAAGUGAGUAGGUGGACCUGAGCAGCUGGCUAACACCCUACUGUAUUCUAAGUCUCCUCCCAGACCACCCAGAAAAACAGAUACAGACAGGAAAAAAGGUGAAGCAGGUAUCUGUUCAAAGUCAAAGUGGGGAACCUGUAAAAAGGUAAAGGGACCCCUGACCAUUAGGUCAAGUCGUGACCGACUCUGGGGUUGCGGCACUCAUCUCGCUUUAGCCUCCAUAUAUUGUUGUUCUCCAAUCCCCGUCAGCCCCAACCAACAUGGCCAAUAGCCAAUGGUGAGGGAUGAUGGGGGUUGUAGUCCAGCAACAUCUGGGGGGCCACAGGUUCCCCAUCCCUGGCCUGAACACCAACCCACUGAGACUAUCUUGACCUUCAUCCAGUGAUGAGUAAUCAGGGAUGGGAAAGAUAGGAAUAGGGCUGAAUCUAAGUGUUCCAUCUCCUGCUAUCCUUUUGUUUUCUUCUCAUGAUUAAACCUUUUGAUCUUAAAUAGGACCUGGACGACCUGACAGCAUCCAAUCUGCUGACUAGAGUGAAGGCUCCACUAAACUGUUGACCCAAAAGCAACGUAUGCUUGAGGUCCUCCUCUAAACUGCGGAGCCACCCACACUCCAUAAUGCUGGUGUAAUCAAAAUUCUCAGACUUCAGGAAAAAUAUUAGGCUCCUCCACACUUCUCUUUGGCCUGUCACUUUCCUCUGGGGAAACCCACGGAAUCAAAAGAAAUCAGAAGGAACAGCAAUUGGUUUUUUUGAGGAUUGCCGUUUGUUCUUAUUUAGCGCUAAAGUGUGGGUUUUCCAGGGAAUCGCAGAGGGGCAAAGGCAAAACGACUUGGACCCAUGUCUAGAAAGCACAGGACAAGUGAAAAACCAUUUGACCCCAUGCUUUCUAGGAAUGGGACAAGUACAAAUGUGAACAAGCCCACAGUUAUGCCAUUGUGCAGGUGCCUGACGAUCGUCUUCCAAAGCAACUACUCUAUUCCGAGCUUAAAAAUGGAAAGCAUAAUGCUGGUGGUCAACAAAAGAGGUUUAAAGACUGUCUCAAGGCAAAUCUUUAAAAAUGUGGUAUAAACACUGACAACUGGGAAACACUGGCCUGCGAGCGCUCCAGUUGGAGAACAGCCAUUACCAAAGGUGUCACGGGCUUUGAAGACACUCAAACUCAGGACACAAGGGAGUAACGUGCUAAGAGGAAGGCACGCUUGGCAAAUCCACACCGUGAUCAACUCCCACCCGGAAACCAACGUCCCCACUGUGGAAGGACGUGUGGAUCCAGAAUUGGCCUCCACAGUCACUUACGGACUCAUUGUUAAAACUGUGUUUAUGAAAGACAAUCUUACUCGGCUACGAGUGAUCGCCAAAGAGGAAGAUUACUGCCCAUUGUUUGUUCUUAAAUUCUUGAUUAGUUCUGUAACUCCAAAAUCCACCACAGUUCUUUCUAAUGGAUCCACCACAAGGAUCAUGCAUUUUUAUAAAAUCUGCACUGUUAAACUAUUUUAAUAAUUUCACACCUCUCACCAUUUAAAUUGUCCUAGUUUUUAAAUGCCUAUUAUAAGGAUACAUGCCUACUCAGAGAAGUGUCUACUGACUUAUGUCGAAGUAAAUGGGCAGAGUGCUACAGCCACUCAGAAAACACUCAGUUAAGGAUAAAGCAAGAAUGAAGACAGUGGGAGUAACAUCUGAAUAAACAGGCAUAUGACUUCACUGCAAGGCAACAACUAGGCACCACACAGCCUGAUCCAACCUGGGCCAUAACAAAUCUCGGCAAAGCUGGGAGUUGAAGGGGAGAUUCAAUGCACAGUAUGAGUGGGUAGGAGGGGGCAACUGGACCCUUCCUCAUGCCUAUGCUUUCUGCCCUUCCCUAGAACCAUUUUAAAGCCAUUGAUUGAUUGAUUGAUUGAUCACAGAAAGGUAGCAGGAGCCUGGAUAGCUCAGUUGGUUAGAGCAUGAUGCUGAUAACAUCAAGUUGGCAGGUUCGAUCUCUGUAUAGGACAGCUGCAUAUUCCUGCAUUGCAGGGGGCUGGACUAGAUCAGGGGUAGGCAACCUAAGGCCCGGGGUCUGGAUGUGGCCCAAUUGCCUUCUCAAUCUGGCCCACAGACGGUCCAGGAAAUCAGUGUGUUUUUACAUGAGUAGAAAGUGUGCUUUUAUUUAAAAUGCAUUUCUGGGUUAUUUGUGGAGCAUAGGAAUUCAUUCAUCCCCCCCCAAAAAAAAAUAUAGUCCAACCCCCCACAAGGUCUGAGGGACAGUGGACCGGCCGGCCCCCUGCUGAAAAAAAUCCUUCAACUGUUCCUCAUAAGACUUGGCUUACAGACCCUGGAUCAACUUGGUCGCCCUCCUCUGAAACAUUAUCCAGCUUGUUAAUAUCCUUCCAAGAACUGGACACAGUAUUCCAGGUAAGGCCUGACCAAGGCAGAAUAGAGUGGUACUAUUACUUCCCUUGAUCUGGACACUACUGAUGCAGCCUAGAAUAGCAUUAGCUUCUCUUUUUUUGCUGGUGAAUCACACCAUUGACUCAUGUUAAGCUUCUGGCCCACCACACGGUCCACACAGCCCACAGCUGAAAAGGGUUGCUGACCCCUGGACUAGAUGAUCCUCAGGGUCCCUUCCAACUCUACAAUUCUAUGAACCCUACUAGGGGAGAAACCCAAAACCAUAAAAAGCCAGCCCAUCUGAGAAGGGCUGUAGUUCAUUGGUAGAGUACCUACUUUGCAUGGUCCCAGGUUCAGUCCCUGGCAACUCCAGGCAGGGCUGGAAUAGAACUUGCUCUGAAAUCCUGGAGAGCCCUGGCCCAAAGAUGGAAAGACGACAAGACACCAACAAAAGAAGAAUGGCAAGAAAAGCGGGCGGAAUAUGCCGAAAUGGUGAAACUAACUGGAAAACUAAGAGAUUAGGACAACGGAGACUUUUAAAAGUACUGGGAAUUGUACAUGUUGUAUUUACAGAAAUAUUGUAAAGAAGUGGACUCACUAGCAGGAUUUGAGUAAACAUUUACAAUCAAGAAAACAAGACAAAAGCUAAGAUGCAACAUUUGGGGAAACAAUAAAAUGUAAGAUGUGAUUUGGGAAGUAUGGUACAAAAAAUGAUAAGAAUGUAAUAAUAUUCAGGUGAAAGAUUAUAAAAUCAAAGUAGAAUAAAACAGGCAGGAGAAAUAAAUAUUUAACGAACCAGAAGGGGAAGUUGAGGGAAGUCAGUCAGGGGACUGGGGCUUAUACAUGUUUUUUGUGAUAAUGGUGAUUGUGUGGAAUAUAAAAUUGUAAAAUUCAAUACAAAUUAUUAUUUAAAAAAAAAAAAAUGAAACCCUGGAGAGCCACUUCCAGUCAGUGUAGACAAUGCUGAGGUAGAUAGAACAAUGAGCUGGCUCUGUACAAGGCAGUUUUCUAAGUUUCAUGUUGUGCUUGAAGUUUCCCAUCUCACUCCAUCCCCGUCUUCCAUUUUGCUGGGAUUAAUUGGCAGUGAACUUCACACACACCACACACACACACACACACACCACAGGAGCAGGGUCGGCUGCUGUCAUAUCCAAUUUACCCCAGAGGGCCAUUUCGCAUAUCGUACAAAAGACAGAUCCUCCUAGUCCUCUUCCACAGCACUGUGGCUGUACUGUAUCUGUUAUGUAUGUACGAAGAUUCAUGGUUUUUCCCUGUAAUAUGUACUGCAUCAAAGUUACAGAUCUGAGAUUGUUUCCAUAGCUCUAUAGACCAGGGGCAGUCAAUGUGGCAUGAUCCUGUUCUUUGUCUCUAUAUCAUACAUCUAGCAUGGGGUGUACUUACAGUAUUUUUUGCUCUAUAAGACUCACUUUUUCCCUCCUAAAAAGCAAGGGGAAAUGUGUGUGCGUCUUAUGGAGCGAAUGCAGGCUGCGCAGCUAUCCCAGAAGCCAGAACAGCAAGAGGGAUUGCUGCUUUCACUGCGCAGCGAUCCCUCUUGCUGUUCUGGCUUCUGAGAUUCAGAAUAUUUUUGUUUUCCUCCUCCAAAAACUAGGUGCGUCUUGUGGUCUGGUGCGUCUUAUGGAGUGAAAAAUACAGUAUUUAAAAUAUCUGCGGCACAACUUCCUAUCCAUCAAGGACCCUGCAGCAGCAGUUAACAUCAACAGCAAGACACUGUUUCAAAAAUGCACAGUGCAGUGACAAACGACAUCACACACUAGGUGUUGGCUGCAUUUGGACAUAAUGACAAACAGUGUUGGCUGGUGCCUGUUGAAACUGGCAGGGCGGAAGGUAGGAGGCCACCAGUAGGUGGAGCCAGAGCCAGCGACAGGUGGACUAAUUAAUUCUAGUUGUGUUCCCAGCUUCCUCCUUCCUGAGUUGUACAAAGGCAACACUGAGACUAAGGAGGAGGAGGAAGGUGACAGCCAGAGCCACCCCUCUGAUUUGGUUUAAGAAGGCAGGUUGGUAGUGACUGGUCGAGGGUAGACAGAGGUUGCUGGGGCAGUGCCCCAUUUUGCCCUAAUGGAUCAGCCCCCCGUGACUACAGGUGGGGGAGAGGUUCCAUUUGGUUUGCAUUUAAGGCCAAAUUCAUCAAAUUUGCACCUUCUGAAGCAAUGUGAAAUCCGAAACUCAACCAUCCUUAAAAAUUCGCACGUAUCUGAAAUUUGUGAUGUACUUCUCUAACCGACCUAUGCUUGCAAAAAUGCAUAUAUUUAGGGGAAAUAAAAAUGAACACACUAGUGAAAAGGACAUGGGGGGGGACAUUAUAGCAGGAUACAUUGCUUACAAAAAUGUGUACAUUAGUUGAAACUGCAUACAAAAAUGUGUUCUUCAGGAGAAAUCUGCACUUAAAUGAGGAAAGAUUUCCAUGAGGGUGUUCUUUUAAAAAUGAAAAUCCCAAAUUGCUGCAGAAAUAUGGAGAACUGAAUUUAAGAGUCAGAAAAAAUGACAAAACUGAGAAAACCAAAAUUGAUCGAUCCUCCCAUCCCUAACUGUGACCAACCAUGGUUUACUGUUGUGUGAAAUGCGGAGGGCCAGCUUUAGUUUUGAGGUGGCCCCAGCAAAGGGAUCUCUAGUGGAUCGUCUCCUACAUUUGUGUGGCCUGAGCAGAGUAGGAAUGCUCUGAAUCAGGACUGGGCAGAGGAGAACCACUGUGCUGGUCCCGGGGGGAAGGUUACCGUUGGCGUAGUCAAAGUCCGGUCCUGGGUCACUGGUCUGGAAACAGUUCACAAGGAGCGAGGUGAGGUCCGAAGCAGGAAGCCGGGCGGGGACAGGAACACUGGGGGAACAGGACUGGAUGCUGGCCGAAACAGCUCAUCAACGAUGUUGCUCCCGCAACCUGGGACCGGGCUGACUGGCCUUUAUCUUCUCUGAGGCCAGGGGCGGUCCCGGCCCCCAGGAGACCCGCCUCUCCUGGCCUUAAGGCGAGCACUCCUCCUGGGAGAAACCAGUUCCCUUCGCCUCUCUGCCCUGAGCCUCUGCAGUUCAGGAGAGGCUGAAGGGUUACUGGACCCAGGGGAGACUCACCUGUAGGCACUGAGUCCUCAACCACCUCCGGAGCCAGAGUGGAUUCACCUGGUGCCUGCUCCUGAGGAUCCGGCACAGGUGCAGGCGCUUCAGAAUCAAGGCCCUGCCCCAGUUCAGCCGGCCCUGGAGGUGGGGACUCCUGUGCAGGCUGGGAUUCCUCCGGUUCAGCCUCUGAAUCGGAUUCCCAGGCCAUCACAACCACCAUGUUAAUUUCCUACAAUUACCCCUAUGAUAUCUCAUAAUUCUGGAGCAUUGCCAAACAUUUAGGAGCAUAGGAAACUGCUUUAUAACGAAUUAUAUCAGUGGUCAGUAUUUGUUAGAAUUCCUGCUCUGUGAUUGCAGUCAUGGGAUUGUUGACUAUCACAUGACGGUGUAUGUUUUGACUCUACAAAGUGGGAAGUGACGGAAACAGGAUGUUUGUGAGGCUUGACAACCAUAUGUCAGGGCUUGACAACCAUAGGUCAGGAGUGCUCUGAUGGUGUUUCCUGCUUGGCAGGGGGUUGGACUCGAUGGCCCUUGUGGUCUCUUCCAACUCUAUGAUUCUAUGAUUCUAUGAUUCUGUGUUCCGUGAAGUGGGGCUAUUGUCCUUUGUCCUUUUUCUAUUUGCUGUCUGAUGCUAGAGAGAGAGAGGGAGCCAUAUUGCAGUGCUCCGUGUGUGUUUAUAUGUAAAUAAAGUAGAUUAGCCAAAAUGCUGAGUUGCUGAGGUCUGUUACGCAAGCUGCGAAGACUCUGCAGAUCCCUAAGUGUGCUGAUGUUUGUUGUCAUCGGUCGCUGUGAUGUUCCGGCAGAAGACAGCUUUUGAAGCUCCCAAACGAUCGACCAGGAGGGAGAGAACAUGCCAGUCGGGCAUGUGUCUCUACCAGGGUCCUACUCGAGUGUAGGCCAAGCUCCUGACAGUAUUGUCAACACAGACUGUUCUCCAGAAUUGCAGAUGAAGUUCUCUCCCAGCCUGACCUGGAGAUACCAGGGAUUGAAACCUGGGCAUUCUGACUGAAAAGCAUGCGUGUUACCCCUGAGCUACAGCCUCCCCAUCUGCAGUUCCCAGAAUCAGCUGUUCGCUUGUUUUUUAAAGGAAGGCCAAAGCAGGUAUAGGUAACAGCCCCAUCAGCUGCCCAAGGAUGCUGUAUGCUGAUGUUACGCAUGAGAAUGGGCCAUGCAUGUGCGGGGAAGAGAUUAGAAGCUUCCACUUCACAUUUCCAUUUGGCCAACUUGACCGAAGGCAGCAAACAUUGCACUGUGAAAGCAACACAUCGCAAACCAUGAUCCUGCACGAAACGCAGCAUUUGGAUGAAGCAGCAGGCAAUGGUUUGCCACAGAUCUGAAGUGGGAGCUUCUGACUCGAUUGUGAAGGAAAGGACAUGCAAACGUGUGGCCUGCCACGGCUCCAAACCAUCAUUUACAGGAUUGUCUGGACUGAGCCACUAUAAGGAAGCAGUGUGGAAGGGGCACAGAACACCUGCAGGAGCUCUCUGUGGCUUCUGCAACAUCAAUUUCCACCCUUGAUCAUCUUCCACUAUCCCUCUUUUCUCUCUGCAUUCUAUUUGCUUUUCACAUUUGCCUUUUUAUGUUGGUAAGUCUGUUGACAACUCUUUUGGCUCUAAAAAUCGUCAUCAUGUUUGUUUGUUUUUGCAGAAUGCCUCAUGUCAGCUAGGUGCCUUGUUAAAAAGGUAAAGGUAAAGGACCCCUGACAGUUAAGUCCAGUCUUAGACAACUCUGGGGUUGUGGUGCUCAUCUCGCUUUACAGGCCGAGGGUACCAGCGUUUGUCCACAGACAGUUUUUCCGGGUCAUGUGGCCAGCAUGACUAAGCCGCUUCUGGUGAAACCAGAGCAACGCACAGACACGCCAUUUACCUUCCCGCCGGAGAGGUACCUAUUUAUCUACUUGCACUUGGACAAGCUUUCGAACUGCUAGGUUGGCAGAAGCCGGGACCGAGCAACGGGAGCUCACCCCUUCGCGGGGAUUCGAACCACUGACCUUCUGAUUGGCAAGCCCAAGAGGCUCAGUGGUUUAGACUACAGCACCAUUAAAAAGGCAUUUGAGAUGGUGGCUGAGGAUCGUGGGUCUGUGCAGCACAAUUGUCAGCUAAUUUAGGCAGCUUCCAGACCAGGGGGUUAGUAGUUGAACACAGGUUGUUAAGGUGUUGCAAAUGGGCCAUUGGCAAUAGGUUUGGAUGUUUGUUUCAUUAACCAAUCAGAUUUUCCCUGGAAGGAGAGGGAAAAUCCAGAUUAAAUGGGGAAGGGGUGGGGAUACAGGCUAGCAGUUUGAUGGCAAGGGCAUCAUGGGGAUACUGGGGGCGGGGGGAAGCCAGGAUCCCACAAUAAACCCCUGUCGGGAAGCACCCUCAGUCAAGGUCAGAUUGCUCCGACACCAGCAGGCUUUUGGGGGUGGUCGUGGGGGUCUUUUUAGCCGUCUAUAGAUUGUGAACAAGUCAUGGCAAACCUCAAGGCUUCCCUCUCCUUCACACAUGAAGGGAGGAGAUUUGAAGCUUCCACCUCCAAUUUGCUGCCGACCGUUGUAUGUGGCAGAAGCAGAGAAAAAUAAGUGGAUUUUUCCAACCUUGUCUCCCUCGGCUGUUUUUUGCCACAAUUCUUGAUGUGCUAGAGACCCCUGCUGGCCACGAGGAGCAAAAACUCCCCACCCCACCCGGCUCCCCGGUUCACAUUCCCUAUAAAUGACAAACAAAAUCCUCCUUCUCUCUGAGAGGAAUCUGGAGGCACUGGAGGGUUUUGUGUGGAGGGUUCAUAGCAAGCAGUGCUUCAGCGGCUCCUUAUUUAUGUUGUUCAACAAAAAGAGAGCUGCUGUCAGUUAAAUGGAGCAUAGACAAUGCAUUCAGGAGAAGCUGGAAAAAGAAAAAAGCCUGCUCUUUUCACUGCCGCAGAAUCCACCAUUUUCCAUGGAUAUGUCCUGAGAUUGUCCUGCGUGGGGUGGAGGAGAGAGACUUCCUGCUGCUGGUGGGGUUGUUAGUCACACUCCCAUUUUCCAAUAACAGGAUUAAAACGGAAAGGGUGAUCUAGUUCAGUUUGUGGCUCUGCUACCAUGUGGGUGAUAAUCCAAAGCAAGACCAGCUGGGAAAUUCAGCCAUGAGGUGCUGGCUGACAACCAGCCAACAGGCUACACAAGUCAACAAAUUAUUUACUUGAAUGACAUACAGGAGGAGCUUGGCAACAAGGGGUUGGAUCCGACGUUAGUUAGACUCAGAGCAGAGCCGCUGAAAUUAAUGGACAUAACUAACACAUAGGCUGCAAUCCUGCAUUCACUUACCUAGGAGCAAGGAUGGAAGAAUCUGCCAAUUUCUGCUUCUCUCGGGUUCUCGCUGCUCCCAUUCCGUUCUCCCCAUUUUCACGGCAAUUUGCGAUUUGUUUCUUUGUUUUAAAUCCUCGUGAAAAUUGGUCAGCACUUUGGUGUGAAUUCUUCCUCCUAACACGGGCAUUUUUGUAGCAUACCCUGAUCACUAAGGGAAGUUCUCAAAGUGGCUUACUGUAUAUUUAAAACACAAUAGAACAGACAAUGAGACAACAGUCAUCACAGAGGGGCAAAAGUGUAUAUAUGUUUCUCCACCUUGUUCUCUGGUGUUCUAACAAACGCCUUUCUGCAGCUGAGUCUCCUGGCCUAGAAGUGUCUGCUGAAGCAGCUAGAUGUUAGUCCCACACGCCAGGACUUCCUCACUAGGUGGCCACUGCUCAGGUCUCUCACAGCACCUGGCUCUGGUGAAAGGUGGGGGAGAUGCUAAACACUUCCCUCCCCAUUCUCAGAUGUUUAGUUGGAGAACUGCAUCUAAAAAUUCAGAAAAGUGUACAUUUCUAAGGCUAACUGAAUUUUGGUUCACAUAUUGGUCCAAGAAAUGUACAUUAGGCACUUUCUCAAUUAAGAAAGCGAUUUCCUCCCCCAUCCCCUACCUACGAGUAGGCAAGCACUGUGUGACUUCAUGCUGUUAGCUUUCAUACUUGAAAAUAAGCCCUUUUGCUGGACUUUAUGGAAUUGGCAGAAAUGACUGGCAGAAUCCGUGACCAGGGAGAAGAGUCGGUGGAAGAAGAUUGGAAGAAAUUCAAAGAUUACUUACAGAAAUAUUGCAAAAUUAAAGAAUGUUAGAGUGAUGUUGGAUUGAAAUUAAGUGGCUUCUAGCUGCACAGGCUUUAAAGUUAUAUAUAGAUCAAGAUUAAGGAUUAGGAUUUAAAAAAGUUAAAAGAAAUGGAAAAUUGGCUUUUAAUAGGUUAAAAUUUAAUGUUAUAUUAUAUUAAGAUUAAGGAUUGGGAUUAAAAAGGAGGGAAAGGAAUUGCUGGUCAAAUAAAUUGAAUUGGAAUACAAAAGAGGGAGGUAUGAGGAGGUCCGGGAAAUAAGUAAAUGUAAAAGUUGUGAUGAAAAGAUGGAAUUGUUUUUAACUGUUUUUUUAUUUUUUAUUUUUAUAUUUUGUAUGGUGUAUUUUUCUUUUUAUUUUUAAAUUUCUUUUUUUUUAUUAAGAUGUCUCUUUUCAUGUGAAACUUCAAUAAAUAUCAUUUUUAAAAAAAAGAAAAUAAGCCCUUUUGCUUUCAGUGGGACUUACUUCUGAGUAGGCACCCAGAGAAUUGCUGUUAGUGGUCAGUUUCCAGACAGAGAGGUGCUGAGGGGGGGUCAAGCUUGAUGCAUAACAAUUUGUAUCUUUUUUUUAACCUUUGAACUCUUCCUUGAAACCAUGGGAGCUGGCUGUAUUUAUCCAGUUGUGAGGCAGAGACACUCUGUGCAUGCUUAAAGGCUACCUCUUUAUUUAACAUAUUUCUGGGGGUCUCCUUUUCAUUUUUCUCUUUAGCCGGGUUUGCCCAAAUGCCAAAGCCAGACUUACAUCUUCAUUUCCCCAGCAGAUUCCAACCGUCACCUGUUCUGUGAAACUUUUGCCUUAGCCUUUCAGUGCUAAUCCUCAGUUGAAAGAAACCCAAAGCACACAGAACAGUAGUUGCUCAUAUUCCCCUUUCUUUUCCUCGCUCUGCUGUCUUCCCUCUGCCUAGUCCAAAUGUAGAAGGUAAACUAUGCUACCAAAUAUAGACUGUAAAUUGUCCUGUUGUGGUUGUGUCCUGCAUGCUUAGAGGUUCUCACUGUCGUCUGUUUGGCCAAUGGUGAGAAGAGGGUGCUGGAGUAGAUCGCCCCUUGCUGGGAUCCAGCAAGGCUCUUCUUUUGUUCUUACUGCAAGCUGCAGAAUUAUGUGAGUAGAUCCCAUUCGUCAUCAGUGACUAGUUCCCUGUUUGCAGGGCAUUCUUUCUCCCUCUCGUUCUUCCAUGGAAAGAAGGGCUGUAUGCAUUCUUUGGGCUGCAGAACUCAUGACAAAGUAGGUUUGCAAGAAAGUGACGCAUGCAGAAAGACUGUAAUAAAAGUGAAAAAUUGCACAUAUAGAAAGGACCAGUCAAAAUGGCAGGAUUUUGAUGUGAGCAAUGCCAUAUCACGAAAGUAAUCCUAUUGCAAUGCAGUGCUUAUGUGUUACAACAUUUGUAUGUGCUGGGCAAUAUUGUACAGUCCUGGUUUUGUAUUUGUUAGUUCAUUUGUUCAUUGCCAAAAAGUUCUGGGUUCUGAUUUUGGUUUUUUAUGAUAGACUGGUAUAGCGUUAUAGCAUUAUUGUAGUAUGGUGUUAAAGCAUUAUAGCACCAUAAUAAAAAUCUGCAUUACAUCAGAAUAGUGUUACAGCACUAUACCGCUCCUUCGUUGAAUAUGUCUUGGUGAUAAUUAAAAGAUAAUUUUUAAAAAAAAUAAACUAUAAAACCACGAAGGUUACUGAAUGUGUGCUGAGUUUCAAAUUCUCUACCCACAGCAGCUAUGCCAUGCCUACCAUUUUGGACAGAACACAGCAGGAUAUACACAUAGGAAAAUCACAAUACUCCCAAUGGUGUUGCAAAUCAAUCGCAAUUCUGCCUACAAUGGAAGACCAAUGAUUGGAUAGCGCUAGGAGCCACCUGUCUGAAAGCAGCCUUCGAGCAUCAUCAUUCUACCCCCGAAGCAGAACUAAUGCUCAGAACUAGCCCAUGUUUUGGAACAGCCAUGCCUUGAACAUUAAAAGAAAAGAGAUGCUUACAGCAUCUUUUGAGUGUUAGCAUUAUAUGAUUUCCCUAAGCUGCAAGACAGCCGCAGAGAACUCCUUGGUGCUCCAACAGGGACCGAUGACAGAAGCAAUUGGACAAAGCUGCAGGAGAUACUGGAGUCCUCGUCUCCCCAUCUUGGCUUCUAUUGUCACCCCCCUCUGACGCCUUCCACUGCAGGCAAACAAAAGCACAGCAAUUAUGGCAUACUUGCAUGAAUGCUCAUAUAUCAAUAUCCACACACAGGCUCGCAUGUUUCAGCAAAAACAUUGAGGGCAGCUUCAAUAGAACAUCUUGUAAAGCAUCGUAAAGGAGCAGUAAACCACCUGGAUAAAGGCAAUUCUUAAUGCGGGGAGUUAAUGAAACAGAGAGACUAACUAGUACAGUGGCAUGACUACAGGGUGCAGAAGUGGGGAGGAGGAGGAGGAUGCUGAGUGGAAGAGCAAAAGGACCUACUCCUUUUGGUGUGUGCAACGGGAGAGUAUAGUUGAAGCCCUCUCUCACCAUUUUAAUGCCACUGCAGUUGCCAGGACAUUUGCCAUUGGGCUGCACUGCAACCCAGCUCUCAUCUCAGGGCGGUGGUAAAGAAGAGAGCAAGAAACAGCUUGGAAAGUGGAGAAGCCCUGUCAGCGUCACCCGCCUGCCGAUUUAUUUUUCUUUCUCUUUGAAAGUUCACUUAUAUGCCCACCAGCGCUUCUGGACAUGGGAAUAUUUUAAAGGUGCAUCCAGACUGCCAAG